UCCCUCCCGCCUGUGCUACUCCACCUCUACGUACCGCUCGCGGGAAAUACAAAAGGAGGAACGUUUUCCGCCGAACCGGCGGGGGGGCAGUGUGGAACCCUGCCGUAAAGCGGCGCGCUCAGGCGGCUGCGAGGUCCUGCAUCGCGGAGGCGGCAGGACUGCGGUUCACGAUUAUGGCA
Molecule: non-coding RNA, 179 nt
Submitted as: unclassified sequences
Source: Rfam